UACCGAGGGCGCGAUCCUUCAUCGGAUUUACUCGCCGUAAAGCGUGCGUAGGCGGCUUUUUAAGUCGGAUGUGAAAUCCCCGAGCUUAACUUGGGAAUUGCAUUCGAUACUGGGAAGCUAGAGUAUGGGAGAGGAUGGUAGAAUUCCAGGUGUAGCGGUGAAAUGCGUAGAGAUCUGGAGGAAUACCGAUGGCGAAGUCAGCCAUCUGGCCUAAUACUGACGCUGAGGUACGAAAGCAUGGGGAGCAAACAGG
Molecule: unclassified non-coding RNA, 253 nt
Filed under: uncultured Moraxellaceae bacterium
Lineage: Bacteria; Pseudomonadati; Pseudomonadota; Gammaproteobacteria; Moraxellales; Moraxellaceae
Description: contains 16S-23S intergenic spacer region
Rfam family: Bacterial small subunit ribosomal RNA
Source: RNAcentral